Molecule: long non-coding RNA, 224 nt
Filed under: Capsicum annuum
Lineage: Eukaryota; Viridiplantae; Streptophyta; Magnoliopsida; Solanales; Solanaceae
Description: long non-coding RNA (CANN_LNC010442)
Source: RNAcentral
GUGGUGGUGCAGGUCUAUUUAGAGUUGGUUGAGGUACUUGUUAUGGAUGGUGAGGAUCAUAUGGUGGUGGUUGGAGGCUUUGAUAGGUAACAUUUGUGGUUUGGGUAAUAAUUGGUGGAGCAGUAAAUGUGGGAUAGAGCAUUCGAUUAAGAGCGUCCGGUGAAAUUUGAGUAGAGGAGUCAUGGUAAACUCCACUUGUGUUUCCAAAAUGAUUAGUCAGGGGA